This is a non-coding RNA of Helianthus annuus (common sunflower), 108 nucleotides long. The record is from Rfam. Lineage: Eukaryota; Viridiplantae; Streptophyta; Magnoliopsida; Asterales; Asteraceae.
AUCCCAUGAUGAGGGAAAUUUUUAAUCAUCAUGUUAAACCGCUCAAAAGCUUCAUGAAACAUUUCACCUUGUUAUUGUUGGAAGCUUCACAAACUCCUUCUUGCAUCC